Molecule: ribosomal RNA, 255 nt
Filed under: uncultured bacterium
Lineage: Bacteria
Description: partial 16S ribosomal RNA
Rfam family: Bacterial small subunit ribosomal RNA
Source: RNAcentral
GUCCACGCCGUAACGAUGACUACUAGGUGUCGGGAGCAAGCUCUUCGGUGCCGCAGCAACGCAAUAAGUAGUCCACCUGGGAGUACGUUCGCAAGAAUGAACUCAAGGAAUUGACGGGACCCGCACAAGCGGUGGAGCAUGUGGUUUAAUUCGAAGCAACGCGAAGAACCUUACCUGCUCUUGACAUCUCCCUGACCGGCAAGUAAUGUUGCCUUUCCUUCGGGACAGGGAUGACAGGUGGUGCAUGGUUGUCGU